GAACCCCGGCGAGGGGAGUGAAAAAGAACCUGAAACCGUGUACGUACAAGCAGUGGGAGCCCCACCACCAAAGCAUUUGCUGUACCGCGUUGACGGAGCGAAGCGACGUCAAACCGAUAAAACAGCAGUGUAAAGUGAGCCGCAGGGCGCUUUGCGCGACAGCGCAAAGGCAGGCGGUUUCGCGUAGCGAAAGCGAAUGCUUUGGGGUGGGGUGACUGCGUACCUUUUGUAUAAUGGGUCAGCGACUUAUAUUCUGUAGCAAGGUUAACCGAAUAGGGGAGCCGGAGGGAAACCGAGUCUUAAUUGGGCGUUAAGUUGCAGGGUAUAGACCCGAAACCCGGUGAUCUAGCCAUGGGCAGGUUGAAGGUUGGGUAACACUAACUGGAGGACCGAACCGACUAAUGUUGAAAAAUUAGCGGAUGACCUGUGGCUGGGGGUGAAAGGCCAAUCAAACCGGGAGAUAGCUGGUUCUCCCCGAAAGCUAUUUAGGUAGCGCCUCGUGAAUUCAUCUCCGGGGGUAGAGCACUGUUUCGGCUAGGGGGCCAUCCCGGCUUACCAACCCGAUGCAAACUGCGAAUACCGGAGAAUGUUAUCACGGGAGACACACGGCGGGUGCUAACGUCCGUCGUGAAGAGGGAAACAACCCAGACCGCCAGCUAAGGUCCCAAAGUCAUGGUUAAGUGGGAAACGAUGUGGGAAGGCCCAGACAGCCAGGAUGUUGGCUUAGAAGCAGCCAUCAUUUAAAGAAAGCGUAAUAGCUCACUGGUCGAGUCGGCCUGCGCGGAAGAUGUAACGGGGCUAAACCAUGCACCGAAGCUGCGGCAGCGACACUUAUGCGUUGUUGGGUAGGGGAGCGUUCUGUAAGCCUGCGAAGGUGGCCUGUGAGGGUUGCUGGAG
RNAcentral lists this ribosomal RNA (897 nucleotides) under Salmonella enterica. Its description in RNAcentral is "bacterial LSU rRNA". It matches the Rfam family "Bacterial large subunit ribosomal RNA", at positions 521 to 1278 of the family's 2925-position model. Lineage: Bacteria; Pseudomonadati; Pseudomonadota; Gammaproteobacteria; Enterobacterales; Enterobacteriaceae. The record is from RNAcentral.